This 253-nucleotide ribosomal RNA is filed under the name uncultured bacterium. Its description in RNAcentral is "partial 16S ribosomal RNA". It matches the Rfam family "Bacterial small subunit ribosomal RNA", at positions 524 to 776 of the family's 1533-position model. The record is from RNAcentral.
UACGUAGGGUCCGAGCGUUGUCCGGAAUUAUUGGGCGUAAAGGGCUCGUAGGCGGUUUGUCGCGUCGGGAGUGAAAACUCAGGGCUCAACCCUGAGCGUGCUUUCGAUACGGGCAGACUAGAGGUAUUCAGGGGAGAACGGAAUUCCUGGUGUAGCGGUGGAAUGCGCAGAUAUCAGGAGGAACACCGGUGGCGAAGGCGGUUCUCUGGGAAUUACCUGACGCUGAGGAGCGAAAGCAUGGGGAGCGAACAGG